UCCCUGGUGGCUCAGUGGGUUAAGAAUCCAGCAUUGUCACUGCUGUGGCGUGGGUUUGAUCCCAGCCUGGAGAA
This 74-nucleotide transfer RNA is filed under the name Sus scrofa (pig). It matches the Rfam family "tRNA". Rfam says of the family: Transfer RNA (tRNA) molecules are approximately 80 nucleotides in length. Their secondary structure includes four short double-helical elements and three loops (D, anti-codon, and T loops). The record is from Rfam by way of RNAcentral. Lineage: Eukaryota; Metazoa; Chordata; Mammalia; Artiodactyla; Suidae.